Molecule: long non-coding RNA, 528 nt
Organism: Sebastes umbrosus (honeycomb rockfish)
Lineage: Eukaryota; Metazoa; Chordata; Actinopteri; Perciformes; Sebastidae
Exons: 2
Source: RefSeq, a predicted model, not a curated record
AAGCUUUGAUCACAAAUCCGUGUCAGUGUGCACCGAGAUCAUCCGUCCACCCGACAGGUCACGACGUUUUACUGCCGACGGCCUCAUAAAUCUGGUAAAUGACGGAGCGGCCGAUCCGAUGACCCCAUACAUCACCGAAAGGUCAGCAGCGCGAAGGAGAGGAAGCGAUCCGUCUUUUCGCCGUGAAACAGGAGAUUCUACGGCGGCAACACGACGGAGGAGCGUGAGUAAUGAAAGAAACACCUGCAGACAAGAGGAGGCCCAUUAGUAUGGAGGAGGGAGGAGCAGGGACCUUUACAGAGGAGGUGUGAGGACUGAAGGUCGUUGAAGGUCGCCGCUGUCCAAGCUGCAAAGACUCGUCCAUCUCUGCAAACUUUUUACAAACACAAAGAGAGAAACCAGCAGAGAUGUUUCUCCUUGUUUCUUGCAUUAAUUCACCUGCUGCAGUACGAAGACAUGUGACAUUAAAGCCGUUAUAUUUGUUGUAAAUGUCAGAAACUAUUAAAUAUUUAAAGAAUUAAACUAUUA